AUUGAACGCUGGCGGCAGGCCUAACACAUGCAAGUCGAACGAGUGGCGGACGGGUGAGUAAUGUCUGGGAAACUGCCUGAUGGAGGGGGAUAACUACUGGAAACGGUAGCUAAUACCGCAUACCAUCGGAUGUGCCCAGAUGGGAUUAGCUAGUAGGUGGGGUAAUGGCUCACCUAGGCGACGAUCCCUACCUGGUCUGAGGGGAUGACCAGCCACACGGGAACUUAGCAACGGUCCAGACUCCUAGGGGAGGCAGCAGUGGGGAAGAUUGCACAAGGGGCGCAGUCCUGAUGCGGCCAUGCCGCGGGUAUGAAGAGGGCCUUCGGGUUGUAAAGUACUUUCAGCGGGGAGGCGUUACCCGCAGAAGAAGCACCGGCUAACUCCGUGCCAGCAGCCGCGGUAAUUC
RNAcentral lists this ribosomal RNA (406 nucleotides) under uncultured bacterium. RNAcentral describes it as "partial 16S ribosomal RNA". It matches the Rfam family "Bacterial small subunit ribosomal RNA", at positions 30 to 526 of the family's 1533-position model. The record is from RNAcentral.